GCGGAUGUGGCGGAAUUGGCAGACGCGCUGGAUUUAGGAUCCAGUGGGCAACCGUGGGGGUUCGACUCCCUCCAUCCGCA
RNAcentral lists this transfer RNA (80 nucleotides) under Nitrospinota bacterium. Its description in RNAcentral is "tRNA-Leu". It matches the Rfam family "tRNA". From Rfam's summary of the family: Transfer RNA (tRNA) molecules are approximately 80 nucleotides in length. Their secondary structure includes four short double-helical elements and three loops (D, anti-codon, and T loops). Lineage: Bacteria; Pseudomonadati; Nitrospinota. The record is from RNAcentral.